Molecule: ribosomal RNA, 802 nt
Filed under: uncultured fungus
Lineage: Eukaryota; Fungi
Description: SSU rRNA
Rfam family: Eukaryotic small subunit ribosomal RNA
Source: RNAcentral
GUGCCAGCAGCCUGCGGUAAUUCCAGCUCCAAUAGCGUAUAUUAAAGUUGUUGUGGUUAAAAAGCUCGUAGUUGAACCUUGGGCCUGGCUGGCCGGUCCGCCUCACCGCGUGCACUGGUCCGGCCGGGCCUUUCCCUCUGUGGAACCCCAUACCCUUCACUGGGCGUGGCGGGGAAACAGGACAUUUACUUUGAAAAAAUUAGAGUGCUCCAGGCAGGCCUAUGCUCGAAUACAUUAGCAUGGAAUAAUAAAAUAGGACGCGCGGUUCUAUUUUGUUGGUUUAUAGGACCGCCGUAAUGAUUAAUAGGGACAGUCGGGGGCAUCAGUAUUCAACUGUCAGAGGUGAAGUUCUUGGAUCAGUUGAAGACUAACUACUGCGAAAGCAUUUGCCAAGGAUGUUUUCAUUAAUCAGGAACGAAAGUUAGGGGAUCGAAGACGAUCAGAUACCGUCGUAGUCUUAACCAUAAACUAUGCCGACUAGGGAUCGGACGGUGUUAUUCAUGACCCGUUCGGCACCUUACGAGAAAUCAAAGUGCUUGGGCUCCAGGGGGAGUAUGGUCGCAAGGCUGAAACUUAAAGAAAUUGACGGAAGGGCACCACCAGGGGUGGAGCCUGCGGCUUAAUUUGACUCAACACGGGGAAACUCACCAGGUCCAGACACAAUAAGGAUUGACAGAUUGAGAGCUCUUUCUUGAUUUUGUGGGUGUGAUGCAUGGCCGUUCUAGCUGGUGGGGUGACUUGUCUGCUUAUUGCGAUAACGAACGAGACCUUAACCUGCUAAAUAGGCCCGCAUUGCUCCGGC